RNAcentral lists this ribosomal RNA (2270 nucleotides) under Phacus triquetrus. Its description in RNAcentral is "bacterial SSU rRNA". It matches the Rfam family "Eukaryotic small subunit ribosomal RNA". Lineage: Eukaryota; Euglenozoa; Euglenophyceae; Euglenales; Phacaceae. The record is from RNAcentral.
AUGUCUCAGNRUAAACGGCUUCUCCCCCAGUGGGUCUGUGAAUGGCUCCUUACAUCAGCAGUGGCCUCCGCGCUGAAGUGUGCAUGGUCCCCACUCUGUCCAGCAGGGAUCCAUUGGGAUAUCCCCGAUAACCUUGUGGCUAAUACGCGGCCUGAACCAGUCUGCCUCAGUGUGGCUUCUGUCAGUAGUGGUCCCUACCCUCCCAGCUGGCCGUGCCAGUGGUGGACCGCGUCCAGCUGCUGGUGAAGACCAGUGCCUGGAACAAAUGGCAGCAUGUCCUGGCUGACUCAGGCUGGUUCCUCCCCGGAACGCCUGCACUGGCAGAGUGGUGGCUCCUGCCACAGCAUUGCUUGAGCGCAUUGGGCUUCUGACCUAUCAGCUUGGAGUGUGGUGUGUUGGACCACACUGGCAGUGACGGGUGACAGAGAAUCAGGGUUCUAUUCUGGAGAGGGAGCCUGAGAGAUGGCUACCACUACCAAGGUGGGCAGCAGGCGCGCAAAUUGCCCACUGCCAAGGCAUGCCCCUGGUGAGGCAGCGACGAACAGCAGCAACCCUGCCUGUCCAUGUGAUGGGUGGGGCUUGCAAUGGGUGCAAUCCAAACACAGUGAUGAGUAUCAACUGGAGGGCAAGUCUGGUGCCAGCAGCCGCGGUAAUUCCAGCUCCAAGGGUGUAUGCUAACAUUGCUGUUGUUAAAACACCUGUAGUCUGAUGCUGGGAACAGGUCUGCCAGUGGCUGGUGGUUCCCUGCUGGUGCUGAGUGGACCGUUCGCGGCAAGCUCACACUGGGGGGGUACUGCUAGAACUCAACCACUGGCAGUAGUGCCUGGACCCUUUGCCUGAAGGCAGUGUGACCUGCUCCUGCUCCAAACCCACUUCACUGUGGGCCUUGAACGGUGGUUGCACCAGCUGCUUGUGUGCUUGACAGGUCAUGGGGCCUGGCCCCUGUGUGCCAGCUGCAACGACCCAGUCCACCACGGGAGCCCACUGCUGUGACACUAUGGAGAACUCAGUGUGCCUCAAGCAGCCAAACUGGCUGAAUGCGCGUCCAUGGAAUGUCGAUGCACCAACCUGCCGUGGCCGAGGAGUUAUACUGGCCUUGGGGCCCAGUGCAGGGGAACACAGCUGUGGCAACUGGGUGUCAGCCCUGGUGUGGGCGGUGGGUCUGCAGAUGGUGGUGGGCACUCCCAGUAGUUGACCCACCACCAGUGUGGCCUGCUGCCCCACUGUGAACCCAGACCUGCCCCAGCCUAUUGUCCGCGAUGGGAGUCUGCUGGGUGCAAGGAAUGCCAGCGCCAGAGGUGAAAUUCUUAGACCGCUGCCAGUCCCACUGUGGCGAAGGCGUUGUGCUAUCAGAUGUUCGUCGAUCAAGGAUGAGAGUGUGGGGAGCAAAGAUGAUCAGACACCGUUGUAGUCCACAACUGUCAACCAUGCCAGCUCUGUGCUGGGCCUGCCAAGCUUCUCUGAACGUGCCCAGCACAAUGCCCCCUGCAACGAGAAAUCCAAGCCUUUGGGUUCAAGGGGGAGUACUGUCGCAAGGCUGAAACUUAAAGGAAUUGACGGAAUGGCACCACAAGGCGUGGAGUAUGCGGCUUAAUUUGACUCAACGCGGGGAAUGUUACCAGGUCAGGACACUGCUUGGAUGGACAGACUGAGAGCUCUUUCCUGAUCCUCUGGAUGGUGGUGCAUGGCCGCUCCUGAUUGGUGGAGUGAUUUGUCUGGUUGAUUCCGAUAACGAGUGAGACAUCUGCCACCGACUAGCCCCAGGCUCGUGCUGUAGGGAUGGUGGCUGCUACCUGCAAGUGGGUCCUCCCACCGACGGUGCUGCACACUGCCUGAGAGCCCUGGGGGAUCGUCUUCUCAGUGGUGCUGUGUCCGCCCAACCAAGGGCAUGCAUGCUAGAGCCAACAGCAGGUCUGUGAUGCUCCCAGAUGUCCUGGGCUGCACGCGCACUACACUGGACUGGUGAAUGGGUGCUGCUACCAAACUGGCAAUUCUGCCUAGACCUGUCCAGGAGUGGAUGGGCAAUCCUGCAGCCCAGCCCGUUGCUGGGGAUAGAUGCUUGCAACUGUCUGCCUUGAACGAGGAAUGCCUAGUAAGUGUGGGUCAUCAGCCCACACUGAUUGCGUCCCUGCCAUUUGUACACACCGCCCGUCGUUGCUACCGAUGGCAGCUGGAUAGAGCCACCUGGAAUGCCCCAGGGGGCCUGCCGCUCGUCUGCAGUGCCCCCUGUGCUGAAUUCUGUCAAUGUCCUGCUGCUAGAGGAAGCAAAA